This 477-nucleotide ribosomal RNA is filed under the name uncultured bacterium. RNAcentral describes it as "bacterial SSU rRNA". It matches the Rfam family "Bacterial small subunit ribosomal RNA", at positions 30 to 507 of the family's 1533-position model. The record is from RNAcentral.
AUUGAACGCUGGCGGCACGCUUAACACAUGCAAGUCGAACGGUAACAGGUCUAGCUUGCUAGAUGCUGACGAGUGGCGGACGGGUGAGUAACGCGUGGGAAUCUGCCUUCUAGUGGGGGAUAGCCCGGAGAAAUCCGGAUUAAUACCGCAUACGCCUACGGGGAAGGACCGGGUCGAGGACCUGGUACUCAAGGAGGGGCGUCAUGUCCUAUCAGCUUGUUGGUGGGGUAACGGCCGUACCAAGGCUACGACGGGUAGCUGGUCUGAGAGGAUGAUCAGCCACACUGGCACUGAGAUACGGGCCAGACUCCUACGGGAGGCAGCAGUAAGGAAUAUUGCGCAAUGGGCGAAAGCCUGACGCAGCGACGCCGCGUGGGGGAUGAAGGUUUUCGGAUUGUAAACCCCUUUCAUGAGGAAAGAUAAACGUGGGUAACCACUUAGACGGUACCUCAAGAAGAAGCCACGGCUAACUUCGUG